Molecule: long non-coding RNA, 299 nt
Organism: Lemur catta (Ring-tailed lemur)
Lineage: Eukaryota; Metazoa; Chordata; Mammalia; Primates; Lemuridae
Exons: 2
Source: RefSeq, a predicted model, not a curated record
UUCUCUUGCAUCUAUCGGGCUUUCUCAACAGCUUCAAAUGGAAAACUUUGAAGGGCAGAGUUGGGAAGAUAAGGCGGUGAGAACACAGGCUCUACAACCACACAGAUCAGACUCUGAAUGCCACUUAGCAUUGUGAAGGUGCCCUACACAAAGCAGCCACGGUUGGUUUGCCUUUUCCUCAAGGAUGCGUCACCGCAGGGUGGGCCUUUGCUUUUGUAAAAUCUGCGUCUCCUCUGACUCUUGUUUUGUUAUCACUUCAUUGAGAAAUGGUUGAUGCAUUAAAAGCUGUUCAUAUUUAA